This 1868-nucleotide long non-coding RNA is filed under the name Marmota monax (woodchuck). Lineage: Eukaryota; Metazoa; Chordata; Mammalia; Rodentia; Sciuridae. The record is from RNAcentral.
CAGAGUGAGACUGGGAAGGACCCACUGGUCAAAACCAGAGGAGGCGGGAGAAGACCAGAGCAGGAGGGGCGAGGGGAGAACUCGUCCUCUGGAACAAGAUGCGAGCAGGUGGGACGUUGCUCAGUCUUCCUGCCCCAGCAGCCUCUGCGUCCCUUUUGGUAUGAGAUCUUGGAAGGUUCCCAGGCACAGGCCUGUGAAAGGUUUGGGGUUGUAGGAUGGGGGCAGGUGGAGGGGGUGGCAGGACUCCCCCUCAGGUCUUCCCACUGCCUGCACAGGCAGGGACAUGGCAGGGUCGGGUCCUGGGCCCUGGUUUCUCUCUGCAUGUCCUGAGCGCAUCUUCCCAUUGCUGUGCAGCGGGACCUCCACCCCGAGGGGGACCUUUGCUGCAGCAGGCAGGUGGGGCUGGGGCAUUUCACUUCCGAAGUGUCGUCAAGGACAGUGGUGGACUCACAGGAUAAGCAGGGUGGUCCAUCUCGGGCCCAGAAUCGGUACAUCUCAUGAGUUAUAGGAACUCAAACAGGAGAACGUGCCCUUGACUUGUGCUCCAUGUUCUCUUGACCCCGAUGGUGGGACCCCUGAUUCCUGCUCUGGUUGUCACCAGGAAAGUUGUGGGUGUUUGCAGGAACUUGGUGGGGAGGGGCGGAGGGCAAGGUGUAAGGGGCAGUACACGGAGUGGGGAGUAUCCGCAGGGACGGAGGGAAGAGAGGAGAAAGGAGGCCCGAGCUUCACGGGGAACGUUCCCUGGAGGACGGCUGGGUUCCUGGAGCCAGGUGGUUCCAGGCUUGUGCAGUGUCCUUAGCACCCAGGCUGGUAGUCCCCCUCAGCCUCCCCGAGUUCUGUCCUUCUCUGGUUCCUUUGGAAAUUGCUUGAGAGAAAACCCCAGGAGUCACAAUGACAACUACAGUAACAAAACCACCUGUCCCCCAAGUAGAUCUGAGGGCUUCGGGAGGAAGAGCACCUCUGGAAGGAGCCUGGGGUUUCCUGUUUGAGUUGGGGCAGUGACGAUGGGAUUAUGCUUCCUGGGUUCUUGAAUCAAGGACCUGAGAUUGCAGAGGGGCCCAGGAAAGCUCUCUGAACGCAGGGGAGGCCAGCGCAGGAGGCUCUGAACAGGCCUUGCUGCUGCUGCUGGAACCCCGGGGCUUUCUUCCUGGGCCAGAGAGGGGGAGGCCUGGGGGCCUCAUGGCGAAGGGGCGUCUCCUGUCUCUGGUCUCCUCUCCAGACCCCUGUUCCCCACCUGGUAUGUACGUGGAGUCUGGACUCUGCCCAGUACCUGCCCUGGAUGAUGGGUCCCUGAGCCCUGUUCCCAGCAGCUUCCUAGGAAACAAGGUUCCAGAAUGGCCCCGAGCCCUCAGGAAAGGGCAUCACUGUCCUUGUCUUCUUCUCCGCGUGUUUGCUUCAGCUGGUGGAUCCUUAUGGUCGCUCAUGCUUAUAAGAAGAAUUGAAAACGUUUCAGUGAGAGGGUGGAGUCUCACCCGGGGAGAGGAACCAGCAUGACCUUCUGAAUCCUCUGCCUGUCCUGCUUCCAGGGGCCUCAACGUCAGUGUCCCCAAGCUGUGGUGCUCAUGUCCCCACAGAACACCCGCUGUGCAUAGCCCUGUCUCUGUGAAGGUCACUGGGAAGGGCCAACCAAGGCUAUUCCACAGCCAGUCAGCUGGGGGUGACUGCUACUGCUACUCUUCAUGCAAAUCUGAAAAAGCCAGGGACUUCUUCAUUAUUGUAACUGUAACAAACAUGGACUCUGUUUGAAUAAGGACAUUCACUUCCAUCCGAAAAUUGUCAAAAUACACAAAUUUAGUUACAAGACACUUUACUGCCAUCUGCCCAAACUGUAGUAAACACACACAUUUCUAUCUUUGCAGUGAGACAAC